UUCUUCAUCCUCCAUUACCUACAAAUUAAAAAACAAACAUAAUUCAAAAUUUUCUGUCUUUGCUCCUCCGCUGCAUCUCUCAGUUAGAUUCGAAGGCCAAGAUCCAAAUUUCUUCUCUUUUUAGUCCUUCCUCUUUUUACUCUCUUCGAUUCCUCCACGAAUUUUCGGAGCUCUCUCCUACCUCUGAUCGGUCUUCUAUAGCAACGACGGUGGCUGGACUUUGUAGCCGACUGUCGACACGAGGUAUUGUUCCUACGAUGAGCUUAUUCUCUCCUUUUGACUGAAGUUCAUAUGUUUAGAUGUUUUAUUUGGUUGGAUCUGUACUUAUUUAUGUGUACUAGCUUUUUUAUAUUUCUAUUAUGUUGUACUCGUUUUUAUUUGUUUGUACUUUUUUUGUAUUAGUGUUUUUUGUAUUUAUGGAUUGUUUUAUUUUAUGUACUUGCUUAUGUGUACUAGCUUUUUCAAUGUAUUAGCUUUGUCUCUACUUGUUUCUGUAUACUAACUUUGUCCGUGCACUAACUUUGUUUGUACUUGUUUUUGUUUUUUGUGUACUAGCUUUUUCAGUAUACUAGUUUUGUCUUUACUUGUUUAUGUAUUUUAACUUUUUCUCUGUACUAACUUUAUUUGUGCUUGUUUUGUUUACUAGCUUUUUUCAAAACUUGUUUUUCUAUACUAGCCUUUUCAAUAUUUCUACUAUGUUGUACUCGUUUUUAUUUGAUGUUUCUGUGUACUAUAUUUUUUUGUAUACUAGCUUUUCUAGGGUACUAGUUUUGUAUGUACUUGUUUAUGUGUACUAGACUAUUUUUUUCUUGUUUAUAAGUUUUUCUCUUUCCUCAGUUCUUCUCUUUGAAUUUUCAUUACGUUAAAGUUUGUUACAUAUAUUGAACCUCAGAAAUGAUGAGAGUGAAUGAAUUGACUUACAGAAGAAAGAAUAACGAGAGGAGGAGGAGAGAAGACAAGGUAAGAAAAUGACCAAAAACACCUAAGAUAAAGAGCCCUAUGCUCCAUCAGAUGAAAUAGUUAAAUGGACAGUGUAGAUUUUUCCUUACUGGGAACAAAUACUUUAUUUUAUUUGCUGUUUAUCAAGAUUCCUUUUAAGUUGUUAGGUUCUUUUUUGAAUUUUUUGGUUGGUGGAUAUCCGAGAUCUUCUUCAUUCUUCAUCAUCUAACAAAUUAAAAACAAACAUAAUUCAAGUUUUUUCUGUCAUUACUCCUCCGAUGCAUCUCUCCGCUAGAUUCGAUGGCCAAGAUCCAGAUUUUUUCUCUUCUUAAUGCUUCCUCUUUCUACUCUCCUCGACUCCUCCAUGAAUUUUCGGAACUCUCUCCUACCGUUGAUCGGUCUUCUAUAGCAACAACGGUGGCUGGACUUUGUAGCCGAUUAUCGGCACGAGCUAUUGUUCCAACGAUGGGCUUAUUCUCUCCUUUUGACUGAAGUUCAUAUGUUUAGAUGUUUUAUUUGGUUGGAUCUGUACUUAUUUAUGUGCACUAACUUUUUUAUAUUUUUAUUGUGUUGUACUCGUUUUUUUUUGUUUGUACUUGUUUUUCUUGUAUUAGUAUUUUCUAUAUUUAUGGAGUGUUGUACUAGAUUUUGUUUUAUGUAUUUGCUUCUGUGUACUAACUUUUUCAGUGUACUAGCUUUGUUUUUACUUUUUUAUGUAUACUAGCUUUUUCCGUACUCUAAUUUUAUUUGUACUUGUUUUUGUGUAUUAGCUUUAUCUCUACUUGUUUAUGUAUAUUAUUAGCUUUUUUGUGUACUAACUUUGUUUGUACCUAGCUUUUUUCAGUAUUUGUUUCUCUCUAUUAGCUUUUCCAAUAUUUAUAUUAUGUUGUCC
RNAcentral lists this long non-coding RNA (1831 nucleotides) under Linum usitatissimum (flax). RNAcentral describes it as "long non-coding RNA (LUSI_LNC007236)". The record is from RNAcentral. Lineage: Eukaryota; Viridiplantae; Streptophyta; Magnoliopsida; Malpighiales; Linaceae.